UUCUAAAUGACUUGAAGCUCUGUCACGGCAUAAUCUCUUAUAAAUAAAUGUCAGUGUAGUCACUGAAUGCAGACUGGAUUUUUGCCUGACUACGGUGCUCAGCCUUCUAGACAAUAGUUAUGCUAAGGGAUUAUCUUUUAACAUUGUGCAGUUAUCUCCUUUGUUUGUUUUCUUUUUUCAUUAUUCACAUAAGCCAAGGGAAAUGAAAAGCAUCUUAUUUCAGGCAAAAAGGCCUGUGAAUGAUUAACUCUGGUUCCAUGCGUUGGGACUUUGCAUAGCAACCCCGUGGCUUGCAACGACAAAAAAGCUCAAGGCAGGAACAGCAGCCCAGGGACCUGAGACCAGCGUUCUCAAAUGAAGGUGAUCUGCUGUUAGAGGAGAAUUCUUCUGUCCUAGCUGUGUCUCUGUGAUCUGUGGAUGAGGGUGGGAAAGCACCACUCAGUCAAUUGGGGUGUACAAAAUGGAGUUUGAGAAGGUCUCACAUCCAGGUUGUUUUGAAGCAAAGUCCAAGCAUUGUAUCACUUCAUCUGCAAAUAUUUCAAUAAGUACCCAAAAGCCUGCCGAGUGCCUGGGAUUGCAGGCACACGCCGCCACGCCUGACUGGUUUUCGUAUUUUUUGGUGGAGACGGGGUUUCGCAGUGUUGGCCGGGCUGGUCUCCAGCUCCUGACCUCGAGUGAUCUGCCCGCCUCGGCCUCCCGAGGUGCCGGGAUUGCAGACGGAGUCUCGCUCACUCAGUGCUCAAUGUUGCCCAGGCUGGAGUGCAGUGGCGUGAUCUCGGCUUGCUACAACCCCCACCUCCCAGCCGCCUGCCUUGGCCUCCCAAAGUGCUGAGAUCGCAGCCUCUGCCCGGCCGCCACCCCGUCUAGGAAGUGAGGAGUGCCUCUUCCUGGCUGCCACCCCAUCUAGGAAGUGAGGAGCGUCUCUGCCUGGCAGCCCAUCCUCUGGGAUGUGAGGAGCCCCUCUGCCCGGCUGCCCAGUCUGGGAAGUGAGAAGCGCCUCUUCCCGGCCCUCAUCCUGUCUAGGAAGUGAGGAGCGUCUCUGCCUGGCCGCCCAUCGUCUGGGAUGUGGGAAGCGCCUCUGCCCGGCCGCCCCGUCUGGGAGGUGAGGAGCAUCUCUACCCGGCCGCCACCCCGUCUGGGAGGUGAGGAGCGCCUCUGCCCAGCCACGACCCCGUCUGGGAAGUGAGGAGCGCCUCUGCCCGGCCGCCCCGUCUGGGUAGUGAGGAGCGUCUCCACCCGGCUGCCCCAUCUGGGAGGCGGGGAGCGCCCCUGCCUGGCAGCUGCCCCAUCUGGGAGGCGGGGGGUGCCCCCACCCGGCUGCCACGUCUGGGAAGUGAGGAGCCCCUCUGCCCGGCCGCCACCCCCUCUGGGAGGUGUACCCCACAACUCAUUGAGAACGGGCCAUGAUGACGAUGGCGGUUUUGUCAAAUAGAAAAGGGGGAAAUGUGGGGAAAAGAAAGAGAGAUCAGAUUGUUACUGUGUCUGUGUAGAAAGAAGUAGACAUAGGAGACUCCAUUUUGUUCUGUACUAAGAAAAAUUCUUCUGCCUUGGGAUGCUGUUAAUCUAUAACCUUACCCCCAACCCUGUGCUCUCUGAAACAUGUGCUGUGUCAAGUCAGGGUUAAAUGGAUUAAGGGUGGUGCAAGAUGUGCUUUGUUAAACAGAUGCUUGAAGGCAGCAUGCUCUUUAAGAGUCAUCACCACUCCCUAAUCUCAAGUACCGAGGGACACAAACACUGUGGAAGGCUUACAGGGUCCUCUGCUUAGGAAAACCAGAGACCUUUGUUCACGUGUUUAUCUGCUGACCUUCUCUCCACUAUUGUCCUAUGACCCUGCCAAAUCCCCCUCUCUGAGAAACAGCCAAGAAUGAUCAAUAAAUACUAAAAAAAUUAAAAAAAAA
Molecule: long non-coding RNA, 1898 nt
Filed under: Homo sapiens (human)
Lineage: Eukaryota; Metazoa; Chordata; Mammalia; Primates; Hominidae
Description: HSALNT0321905
Source: RNAcentral